UGGGGAAUAUUGCACAAUGGGGGAAACCCUGAUGCAGCGACGCCGCGUGAACGAAGAAGGUAUUCGUAUCGUAAAGUUCUGUCCUAUGGGAAGAUAAUGACAGUACCAUAGAAGAAAGCUCCGGCUAAAUACGUGCCAGCAGCCGCGGUAAUACGUAUGGAGCGAGCGUUGUCCGGAAUUAUUGGGCGUAAAGGGUACGCAGGCGGUUUAAUAAGUCGAAUGUUAAAGAUCGGGGCUCAACCCCGUAAAGCAUUGGAAACUGAUAAACUUGAGUAGGUGAGAGGAAAGUGGAAUUCCUAGUGUAGUGGUGAAAUACGUAGAUAUUAGGAGGAAUACCAGUAGCGAAGGCGACUUUCUGGACACAAACUGACGCUGAGGUACGAAAGCGUGGGGAGCAAACAGG
This 403-nucleotide ribosomal RNA is filed under the name bacterium. Its description in RNAcentral is "partial 16S ribosomal RNA". It matches the Rfam family "Bacterial small subunit ribosomal RNA", at positions 355 to 776 of the family's 1533-position model. The record is from RNAcentral. RNAcentral also lists the same sequence under 1 other name.